GCUGCUUUGCCUUCCUCUCAGUGAGCAGAAUAGGGGUCGCAAAAUGGUGCAGGACCCCAUUUGUGCUGAAAGGAGAAGCACAUAUUGAGCACAAGGCUCUCUGCUGGAGCGUCCCAGCUUUAACCCGCCAUUUUGGGAUGAACCCAAACCCAAAUGACGGGAUAUUUAUUCUAACCAAUCAUAAGGGAUGUAUUACUUAACAAUAGAGGGCUCGAUCUGGCAGAAGAAGAGAGAACAAUCAGAAUCUAAUCGAGGUGGAUUAAUCGGCACAGACCCUCUGGUUGGCUCUACGGUGUGUUUUGUGAAGAGCACAGUUACGUGUGUACAGUGUAUAUCUGCCGUAUGUUGUUUAAUAUCAUACCAUGUCAUGAUCAUGAAUUUGUGACGAUUAUCCGUUAUCCUUUUACAAAGAUUUUUAUAAAGCCGCCCUUCGUCCUCUCAGAACGACCGCUCCGUUUAAAAUCUAAUGAAGAUGAAUGUAAAUGUUCUAUAUCUAGAAAAUAAUCCAACAUAUGUGAAUUUUGUUUUUUUUUACUAUGUCAUCGUUUGGAGAAUCUGGCCCAUCUCCUCUUUGGUUUUUUUCCACUCAUGGUUUGAAAAUCUGCUGCUUUGUGUGCUUCGGGAGGGCCGGUGAAUCUGCAUGUUGUUAGUGUGGCGCUGUAAAGGUCCGAUGCCUUGUUCCUGUACAUACUGAGGAGCUGUAAACUGUACGUAAACGACGACGCUGAUUUUUAAGUCUGAUUUUGUUAACGUGACCAAUAAACUUUCUGUUUUUGCUGUUGUUUUUAAUUCCCGUGUGCUGAUGUGUCUGACUGAUCUCUGGCUGUUUCUCUAUUAUUAUUUUUUUUAUUCUUCAGCUGAGCCUUAAGUGCUUUUAAGAGGCUGCAGGUUCGAUUCCUCCAUCAGUGAAGUUUCCUGUCGAAGCCUUUUUGGGUGACGACGCUGUAAACACCUGCAGCUGCUGACUUGUUUGCAUUUGACUCUUUGCUGAUUCAGAUGUAACUGACUCCAUGUUUCUGUUUUUGACAAGAGGGAAAGUGGCUCUAGUGGCUUCAUGAAGCUAAAGCAUGCUAAUCUCACCAUGCUAACAUGCUCACAGGUCAGCUAACGUUCUGAUGUUCAGCAGGUGUAAUGUUUACCAUGUUCAACUAGGGGUGGGUAUUGGCAAGAACCUCACGAUACAACACGUAUCACGAUACUUUGGUCACGAUACGAUACGUAUCACGAUAUUGCGAUAUAGAUAAAGAUGAAAACACAAGUACCUGUAUAUGUACAUAAGAUAAUAUUGAUCAGAGGACAAACUGAGUCAAAACUAUUUCAUUCAAAACAGCCUCUCCAUUUUAUUAAUUCCCAUGAAAUUUCCGGGCAGUAAUAUUCUCUUUGUCCGGCUCGUUGUUCUUGCUAUCUCUCUUAACUUUGAAGCCAAAGUGCUUCCAAACGUCAGCUUAAAAUUGCGGAGGCGUUGUUAACUUGCCAUCCAUUUUGCAAAGACCUCAGCCACUCUCUCUACUACAGAAAUACACCCGCCGCACAGCAGAGUCGCUCUUCGGCGAUAUAUCGAUAUUUGGAGUUGAAAAUCGAUAUUGUAUUGGGCGGCAAAGUAUCGCGAUAUAUUGCCGUAUCAAUAUUUUUGCCCACCCCUAUGUUCAACACAGUGAACUGCUGAGGUUAAUGAAAAUGUUGUUGUUGUCAAGAUGAUCAUAAAUAAAUUCAGAUGA
This is a long non-coding RNA of Sparus aurata (gilthead seabream), 1718 nucleotides long. Lineage: Eukaryota; Metazoa; Chordata; Actinopteri; Spariformes; Sparidae. The record is from Ensembl.